GGUAUUUUAACAUAAAAUAAUCAUAAAAAUAAAUUUUUAAUAUAUACACUGAAGCCUACCCCAUCCUCCGCCUCCUCUUCCAAACACCCCUUUGGUAUCUUCUUCUUCACUUCUCUCCCUGUUACAUGUCCAAAAUCCUGUUAUUGACAACACGUUUCAGUCAUUGAGUGUUACUAAUAAAAAGAGACAACAAAUACGCCUUACUUCAACAAUUCACAAUACCAGAAAUUUUGCACUAUUAACUUCUCCUUCUUACCUGAAGUGGUCCGUUUUUGUAAAUUUCUGUCAUGAUUCUGUGGGUAUUACAGCUGAUCCUGUAUGAAUUGACAACAUAAUGCUUUGAUUUCCCCAUUUUUGGACACACCUCCGACGUGAACAAUCAAGGUGGGGACAUCUCUCUGGUCAAAGUAAGGAUCACUCCUUCAUUUUUUCACCAAAACAAUUUCAAAUGAAUUUGUGUAUUUUAGGUAUUUGAAAUUACCAUGAAUUAGUGUAUUUUGGAUAUUUAAAUUUGGGUAAUUAAAGAUGGAUUGUUUGCAGUCGGAAGAAGGGAAGGAAGGAGGAAAAAGCCAUUAAUUUAAUUUUAUUGUAUAUAUAAAAUAUCACCGAUUUCAAAUUCAAUUUGAAGAAAUAAAAUGAUAUGUUUAACAUUUAUGGAAGAUUGGCAAGGAUACAAUGGAGAAGAAGAUGAUAAUUUUUCUUUUUAUUUCUUUUAUGUGUUUUUUAAUUACUUUUAGGUGUCUUUUUUUGAUUGGUUGUGUUUUUUUAUAUUUAAUUUUUUUUAUUAAUUAUGGCUUCUCACUCUCCGUGUAUUACACAUGUCAUGCCAUGUCAGCAAUUGAAAUAUUUUUGUGAAGGAGUAAAGGGUUCAAUAGAUAUCUGGCCUAAUUAAGUACAGAAAAAGUCGAAUAGUUGAGUGACCUGUAUAUGUAUUUUUAUAUCCACAGGUUAUGUAUGUUAGCUAAUAAAAUUUUCAGGAGCAUGAAGAAAAUGAAUAAACUGAAUUUUUGUAAUAGUGUAUAUGUUUACAUAUACAUAGCACAUCAUAACGUAGUAAUAUAUGUUGAAGAAUAUACAUAAAUGUACAUGUAAUCUUACCUAAUAAACAUAGGUGAGUCAAAGUUUACAUAUACAGGUUAUGUAUGUUAGCUAAUAUACAUAGCAGAAUUUUUUAAACAAACAAAAAAAAUAAAAUAAAUCAACCUAAAAUUUUAAAUUGAAAUAAACUCAAACUUAUUUCAACGCAUCAAUGAAGUAAUUUAUAAAUAAUUAAUAACACAAAAUUAAUUAUUAAUAUUCAAUAGUAUAGAAAAACAGUAAGUUAGUUCAAGAGUAUAUGAAAAAUCAAUAACAUGUGUUUUUUUCGAUUUUACAACUACUAUAUGUUUACAUAUACAAAUCACAGAUUAUAUUGUAGCUAUGUAUGUUAAAUGAUAUACAUUAAUGUAUAUUUAAAUUACAUAAUACAGAUAAAUGAUUUAAAGGCUAUAUAUACCGGUUAUGUAUGUUAGCUAAUAUACAUAACUGUGUGACAUACUAAUUACAAACAUUACUCAAAGUGACCCAGCGUCCACAUAAACAAUACAAAUAAAAAAAAAAGUAACACUGAAAUUUCAAAACGAAAGUAAACUAAAAUUUAUUUCAACGAAAAAAUAUGAAACUGAAACAUAUCAAUCAAGUAAUUCCUAAAAAAAUGAUAACAAAAAUCAGUGAUUACUCUCCACGAGUAGAGCAAACAAAAAAUUAGUUCUCCUUUGAAAAAAAAUUAUAUGAACGCCUAUUGUGCCCUUCAUGUCCACAUCAUCCACAACGGUUUGUGCUUGACGAAAGUGUUUCGUUGGAUUUCUUCUUUCGCCCCUUCUUCGGUCUUCCUGGAAGUCUUUUGUAUAUCGAUGGCAACACUUCUUCCUCAUCUACACUUUUCAUGACAUCCCAAUUUUUCUUAUCUAACAUCGGAAUGAUUGGAACUUUGUAUGUCUUAACCAAUGUGUUUGGCUUGUAGUAUUCUGAACAGUAUGGUCUAAAAUCUUUUACAUGUUUAGACUUCAACACAGAUAUAGCUGCGCACAAGGCAUUUGGUCUAUUUAAAACCUCGCACAGUUGCAUGAGCCACUUUCAAGGUCAACAAUGUAUCUUCUCCCAGAUUUAUACCGAAUAUAUAUAUAUUCAACCACAGAUUUUUUUUUCGGAAAAAAUAAAUUUAAUUCGUACAUCAAUAAAGAAGCCUUUUGGCAAGUUGCUAGACAUAACUUACAUCAAUAUUGUUUUCGCACUGUAAUGUUUAAUUCGUCGGCGAUUGAAGAAAUAAACCUCAAGUAACUUAUCGAUUCAGCAGCAACGAUCCCUUCACUUUUAUAGUUUACAUUCUGUAUCGGUUCUCCAUUGACUAGAGUGCCUCAAAAGAAUAGCAAUAUUCAUCUUACAGAAUUCCAAUUGAAGUUUUUUUCUUCAGAGCUAUAAUGAAAUCAGUGUUUUGAUUUGUUUUUUGGUGUUUAAUUUCCGUAUGUUUUUAUUUUACUAUAUUUGAUUAAUUUAAAAUUUAAAAUUCAGAAGUUGUUACACAAAUUAAGGAAGCAUUAAUUCACUUAAUUAAUUAGUUGACUUAACAACAUCAUUAAAUCAAGGGAAUACGUUAGUUCCUUUUUUAACGUUAGUAAAACUUUCAAAUAUACAUAACAAGCUAUGUAUAUGCAUUUUUCUUAUGUAUGUUAAAAGGGAGAGAGAGUAAACUAAUUAAUAAAAGUGGGAUAGGGUGUGAUUAGUUCUAAAAGUUUGGGAUUUGUGUUAUUUACACUUUUAAAAUAGGAGUUAAUAUGAAAUUUAAAAAAAAUGAUUUAGAAUGGAACCUCCCUUAAAUGAAAAUAAUAGAGUUCGAAGCUAAAAGAGACUCUUUUUCAAUCUUAGGAGACAAAACGGAUGUUACAAAACGAACAGUUUGCCCAAAAAUGAAUAAAAUAAAGUGAACAACAAAACAUAUUCUAUAAGUGAAAAAGUUGUACCAUUUCUCAAAAAUUGAAGUGACAAAACGUUCACAAUAAGAAUCUUUUCAGAAAUAUUAACAUUGUAAUGUUUAAUCAGUUAUCAGUCGAAUCUCUUAGGGGAAGAAACAUAUUGUACCAUUUCUCAAAAAUUGAAGUGACAAAACGUUCACAAUAAGAAUCUUUUCAGAAAUAUUAACAUUGUAAUGUUUAAUCAGUUAUCAGUCGAAUCUCUCAGGGGAAGAAACAUAGUUUGCCCAAAUAAAAGUAAUUUGCCGGCAGAUGGACAAACUAUUAAAAAAAGAUUUAUGAAAAUGUAGUUUGCGCAUUUUUGGGCAAACCCCAUUAACAUUUUUUUCCUCCCCAAACGUUCACAGACGGAUUUAGUUGUAGUUUGCUCGUUUUUGGGCAAACUGUCCGUUUUGUAACAUAAACAAAAGUAUUGUCCGUUUUGGCUCCUAAGAUUGAAAACGAGUCCCUUUUAGGUCUGGACUCAAAACAAUAGGUGUCUAAGUUAUGCUUUCAUCUAUUCAAAAGAAUGAAAUACAUAAAAAUGACCCUCCAAUAUAGGUGUGUGCACAUAAUAUUGGCAUGUUCUGUUUAGCACCAUUGUCAUAUGAUCAGAAGGAGGUUCCGAGUUCGAGCUGUGAAAACCGCAUGCACGGUAACACUGCACACAAUAGACCCUUGUGGUCAGGUCAGGUCCUUCCCCGGACCCUACACGUAGAGGGGGCUUAGUGCACCGGGUUGUGUUUAGUACCAUAAUUCACAAGAGGGGACAAUAGUAUCAUGCCUCACUAUUGUUAUUAUUUGUCUUUUGGAGAGUAAUGUAAAGUAAAUGUUCAUUUUGCUAACCCAAACAUGUUGUAGUUCACUCAAUGAUGAUUCAUUCAAACAGGCACAGGUUCAGAAACACUGUCAUUUUCAUCUUGAUCCAAAUUAUCAUAGUAUUCCACCAAAACUUUCCAACCACCCGGGCACAUAAAUCCAUCCGGAGGGCUCUCCUUGUUCUUUGCAAGCGUUCGCAUCUGAAAGAAAAAAGAAAGCAUGAACUACAACGUACUUUUGAACGACGACAGCACAAUAAGUGAUCUCGUACAAUCUAAUGAAGUGGUCCUUUCCGGGGUGUGUGUAUAAAAAAUAUAUGUUGCUCGGAUUCUCUAAAAAAACUGCAGUGUCUGAUCCUCCAAAACUGCACUCGUUUUUGGAGGAUCCGACAUGUACCGGCCAACAGUUUUCAAGAGUCCGAGCAUCGUAGCAUGUAAUGAAGUGGUCCUUUCCGGGGUGUGUGUAUAAAACCUACGUCGCUCGGAUUCUCUAAAGUUACUGUAGAGUCUGAUCCUCCAAAACUGCAGUAUCUUUCGGAGGAUCCGACACGUACCAGCCAACAGUUUUCAAGAGUCCGAGCAUCGUAGAAUGUAAUGAAGUGGUCCUUUCCGGGGUGUGUGUAAAACCUACGUCGCUCGGAUUCUCUAAAGUUACGGUAGAGUCUGAUCCUCCAAAACUGCACUCGUUUUUGGAGGAUCCGACAUGUACCCAGCCAACAGUUUUCAAGAGUCCGAGCAUCGUAGAAUGUAAUGAAGUGAUCCUUUCCGGGGUGUGUAUAAAACCUACGUCGCUCGGAUUCUCUAAAGUUACUGUAGAGUCUGAUCCUCCAAAACUGCAGUAUUUUUCGGAGGAUCAGACACGUACCAGCCAACAUUUUUCAAGAGUCCGAGCAUCGUAGAAUGUAAUGAAGUGGUCUGACAUUUUUGAAGAGUCUGAGCCACAUAGCUAUAAAAACAUUGAAAGUCGAUGGCGAGAUAGAAACCUUGGUGCCUGAAAUGAAGAUAAAAUCUUGAGGCCUAGAGGAGUCGAAGAAAGCCAUUCCAUUCUUAGUCUUGUCAUAUGCAGCCACCUACAAGUAAAUUUAGUAUUCCCAUUAGAGCUUGAAAAUAAAAAAGGAAAGACGUGUUGCGCUUUGACCACGGCUAAAUUGUUGCCAUACCUUGAAAGGUAAGAUAUUCAGCCGUUCUAGUCCCGGAGCCAUACUGAGGACUUUCUUGCCGUGAUCAGCAUCAUACAGAUCUCUCUUCUCCAGAGGAUGAGCUAUUCCGGCUGGAUCUCGUCCCACGAUAUAAAAGUUAGCACCUGCAUUGAUGCGAGCCUUUGCAUGCCAUUGCACCUCGGUUGGACCAGCAUAAUGCAUGGGCGAUGGGAAUAUAGAAAGCACAGUUGUCUCUGGAUCAAGCACCCCAUCUUCGAGAACCUGCAAAGAGUUCCAGUUGUGUAUCGAAGUAAGAAAGCAACACCACGUAAGUACAUGAAUCAAAUUGAAUAGGAGAAUCAAAUUUUAGCAAGGAUUUCAGUCACUGAAAGGGAUCAAAAGAAACCGGGGCCUUUCAAGAUUCUUACAGCAGUACUUGACACAAGAAAUAGACGCUUUCAGAAGUGAACAUAAGUCAGAAGGUACUUUGAGCAAAAACGCCUAGGGAUGUCAAAUGAGCGGGUCAUGUUUUCCAGUUGAAGGAGGGAAAAAUCAUGUAGCGUAGUGUUUCAUUGCUUUAUUUUACUGCCAAAACGGAAAAAAUAUAGGCUUCGUAAAAAAAAAAGCAUAACCUUUUCAUGUUGCUUCAUUCUCCAAUGAAGUGGAACAUCAUCUUCCUUUGUGUAACCUCCAAGAGGAUGAAGCAAAAGGACAGGGUUCUUAUAUCCCAUUUCGAGAAGUCGCCCACGUGUGUCAUUCAUCAGUAAUGCAUGGCCAUUAUGCACGGGGUUUCUCAGUUGAAAAGCAAAAACUGCAUCUGCAUUACGCCUUGUAAAUUCAUCACGAAGUUCAGCUGGAGAAAGUCGGAACCUGUCAAGACCAUCAUGGUACUUGACUGGAUCUAUAACUUUCAAAUCGCCACCAAUUAGCCAGUUUCCCGCAUGAGUUAUAGCUUCAUCCACAUAUGGAAGACCUGGGGCAGUGGUGCCCCAAGUUCUUGCUAUCCGUUCUUCUUUGUUAUGCUUGUAGAUCUCGAUACUACAAUUAUACAUCGAGAAGGUAGAGAGGUUGUUUCCAAUAGACCUUCAGCUCGAGUAGAACAUGUCAAAAAUCAAAUACAUAAAGCAAAUACAGUGGUGAAGAAGCCAACGGAAAGAGAACAGUAGCAACAACAAAUAAUACGAUAACCAAAGUCGAGGAGACUAAUGAAAACAAAUGGUGUCUUAAGUUAUGUUCUCAUCUAUUCAGAAAGAAUGAAAUGCAUAUAAUGACACUCCAAAUUCUGGACUACAUAGUACCUAUAAAAUAGGUGCAUCACAAAUGUGUGAAUAAAUUUAGUAUUAUAAUUUACAAGAUGGAGAAAAUUUUCUCAACCUACUAUAUCAUGCUUCACUAUUAUUAUUUGUUUCUUGAAGAAUAAUGUCUAAAUUAAAUCUUCAGACACAUACUAGGGGGGGAAAAUGCUAAUUUUUCUACCCCAAAUGUGUUGUUGUUCAAGAAGGGACAGGUUCAGCAACUCUGCCAUUUUCAGCUGAUGCCAAACUAUCAUAGUAUUCCACCAAAACUUUCCAACCACCCGGGCACAUAAAUCCGUCUGGAGGGUUCUCCUUGUUCUUUGCAAGCGUCCGCAUCUGGAGAAAAAAAUAAGAAAGCAUUAAUUGUGUGAUAUUGUUUGUCAGACAGCGGCGGAAGAACUGAUCUAGCAUCGUGGAAUGUAAUGAAAGUGGUCCUUUCCGGGGGUUGAGGGUGGCGUGGGUAUAAUCUGUGUUGUUCGGAUUCUACAAUAUACUGCCGGCACAGUGUCGGAUCCUCCAAAAAAUGCACUACUUUCAAAAAAUCUGAUAUGUACACGCCAACAUUUUUGAAGAAUCCGAGCAUUGCAGUGUAAUAAAGUGGUCCUUUCUGGGGGGGUAUUGGUGGUCCAAUGGGAUAAAACCUAUGUUGCUCGGAUUCUCCAAUAUACUGCUGGCACAGUGCCAGAUCCUCCAAAAAAUGCACUAUUUUCGAAAAAACUGACACGUACACGCCAACAUUUUUGAAGAAUCCGAGCAUUGUAAAGUGGUCCUUUCCGGGGGUAUUGGGGGGUCCAAUGGGGUAAAAUCUAUGUUGCUCGGACUCUCCAAAAAUACCGUCACACCGCGUUGGAUCCUCCAAAAGUGCUCUACUUUUGGAAGAUGCAACAAAUACCCAUGCCAGCAUUUUUGAAGAGUCCAGGCGACAUAGGGUAAAACACUUAAAGCCAAUGGAGAGAUAGAAACCUUGGUGCCUGAAAUGAAGAUAAAAUCUUGAGGCCUAGAGGAGUCGAAGAAAGCCAUUCCAUUCUUAGUCUUGUCAUAUGCAGCCACCUACAAGUAAAUUUAGUAUUCCCAUUAGAGCUUGAAAAUAAAAAAGGAAAGACGUGUUGCGCUUUGACCACGGCUAAAUUGUUGCCAUACCUUGAAAGGUAAGAUAUUCAGCCGUUCUAGUCCCGGAGCCAUACUGAGGACUUUCUUGCCGUGAUCAGCAUCAUACAGAUCUCUCUUCUCCAGAGGAUGAGCUAUUCCGGCUGGAUCUCGUCCCACGAUAUAAAAGUUAGCACCUGCAUUGAUGCGAGCCUUUGCAUGCCAUUGCACCUCGGUUGGACCAGCAUAAUGCAUGGGCGAUGGGAAUAUAGAAAGCACAGUUGUCUCUGGAUCAAGCACCCCAUCUUCGAGAACCUGCAAAGAGUUCCAGUUGUGUAUCGAAGUAAGAAAGCAACACCACGUAAGUACAUGAAUCAAAUUGAAUAGGAGAAUCAAAUUUUAGCAAGGAUUUCAGUCACUGAAAGGGAUCAAAAGAAACCGGGGCCUUUCAAGAUUCUUACAGCAGUACUUGACACAAGAAAUAGACGCUUUCAGAAGUGAACAUAAGUCAGAAGGUACUUUGAGCAAAAACGCCUAGGGAUGUCAAAUGAGCGGGUCAUGUUUUCCAGCCUAGGGAUGUCAAAUGAGCGGGUCAUGUUUUCCAGUUGAAGGAGGGAAAAAUCAUGUAGCGUAGUGUUUCAUUGCUUUAUUUUACUGCCAAAACGGAAAAAAUAUAGGCUUCGUAAAAAAAAAAGCAUAACCUUUUCAUGUUGCUUCAUUCUCCAAUGAAGUGGAACAUCAUCUUCCUUUGUGUAACCUCCAAGAGGAUGAAGCAAAAGGACAGGGUUCUUAUAUCCCAUUUCGAGAAGUCGCCCACGUGUGUCAUUCAUCCAAUAAGCCAGUUUCCAGAAUGCGUUAUAGCUUCAUCCGCAUAAGGAAGACCUGGGGCAGUAGUGCCCCAAGUUCUUGCUAUCCGUUCUUCUUUGUUAUGCUUGUAGAUCUCGAUACUACAAUUAUCAAAUCAACAGACCAAUAAGCCAGUUUCCAGAAUGCGUUAUAGCUUCAUCCGCAUAAGGAAGACCUGGGGCAGUAGUGCCCCAAGUUCUUGCUAUCCGUUCUUCUUUGUUAUGCUUGUAGAUCUCGAUACUACAAUUAUCAAAUCAACAGCGAAAGACAUAAGACAUUGGAAGUACUUAUACUGCUGACAAGCAGAUAACAAAAAUGAUAAAAUUUGUAUAAAUCAAUUGCUAAACAAACAGUGCAGAAUAUUAGUCUGAUCAAUAUCUAAGAUACAUGCCAAAAAUGAAAUAAGCAUCGUUGUAUAAAUCACGUAGUAAUAAACACCUUUUAACUAAUUUCAGUCACUACAUUAACAAAGAAAAUUACUGAAAUUGGACUCGAGAAAAAUAUUCAUAUAGAGAUUCCACCAAUGUAUUAUUUGUUUGGGCUCUCUUAUGAUUUGCAAAAGUACUCUGAACAGACGAAGAGUAAAGAUCGGUGUCUUCCAGCUAACUGCUGAAGUUAAUUGUAAGGUGGUAUUUGUUUAGCAGAGGAAGAUUUUCUAAAGAAAGAACGGUAAACAUGUUAAUCUUUACGAAAGCACAUGGAAACCAGUCAAAACUUAUUUCGAUAAACAAAGUCGAAGCACGUGAUAAUCAAGCCUCAACAGGGAUAUUUUGAGCAUGAAAUGUUCUACCAUCCCUAAACCAGUAGAAAAUAAUCAAGCUCCUACUUUCUUAUCAGUGAAGGAGAGCCUUGGAGUAACUGGUAAAGUUGCUGCCAUGUGACCAGGAGGUCACGGGUUCAAGCCUUGGAAACAGCCUCUGGCAGAAAUGCAAGGUAAGGCUGCGUACGAUACACCCUUGUGGUGGGGCCCUACCCCGGACACCGCGCAUAGCGGUAGCUUUAGUGCACCGGGCUGCCCUUUUUCUACUUUCUUAUCAGCAACUUCAGAACUUCAACUCAAAGGUUAGACAUUUUCUUACAUGUCGCUGAUUCUUUUGGAGAUAUUUUGAGAAUGGAAUUUUCUUUUCAAGCAAGUUAAGAAAAUCCAUAACUGAAGCGGACGCGAAGAAGCAAGUUUUCUCCUGUGCUACUAGUCAUGACAAUGUUAUGGGGAGCACUAAAAAACAACACUUAAUCUCUUUUAGUUUAUCGUUACUCUUUAGACAAGGAUAAAAAGGACAGCUUGAUGCACUAAAGCUCCCGCUAUGCACAGAGUUCGGAGAAGGGCCCCACCACAAGGGUGUAUUGUACGCAGCCUUACCUUGUAUUUCUGUCAGAGGUUGUUUCCAAGGCUCUUUAGACAAGGAUGCUUGUUCAAAUAAGUCAAUUUUCACAUGGUAAACUACUAUGUGUUUUUUAACCAUUAGCCAAGAACAAAGAAAAGGUGAUGUUCAGUUCGAUCCUGCUUUCUUAUCAGCAACUUCAGAACUUCAACUCGAAGGUUAGUGAGUUAGUCAGAUAUAACAUGACAAUGAUUCUUUUGGAGAUAUUUUGUGAAUGAAUUUUCUUCUCAGGCAUGUUAAGAAAAUUCAUAACUGAAGCAGACGUGAAGAAGCAAGUUUUCUCCUGUGCUAAGGUUCAUCAGAUUUAACAUCAACGUGUUUAUGAAUAGCUUCGGAUUUCUUUUACAGUAAAAUAAACGUUUAAAAAAAGGUACUGCUUACUACAAACAAUUGCUCUUUUCCUCGAGUACCAUUAAGCCAUCACUUUUCUUUGAAUCCUGAAGAAAGAUUAACAACCCAAAAUAUGUCGCCCUAAUUGCCAUUUACAACGGCAAGAAUUAGCAUUAAAACUCCAUCUUUACUUUUGAAGAUCAAUUCAAAACACAUACUAUUACCAAUUACCAAAGCAAUCCAUUAAAAAAAACAUACUUUAAGCAAAACAUCUACAAUGUAGUUUAAAUAUUUUCUGUGAGCACACGUGUCAACAUUGACCUAGUGAACUGAAACGUUGAAGUAAUAGUCACAUCAACGUUGAAAAUAACAGUUUAAUGGAGGUGAAUUUUUUUUUUCAUAUUUUGACACCCCUUAGUGGAAAAUCUUCGCUCCGACACUGGUACCUGCUAUCAGUGUUUUUGUCUUUGCUGCUUAAUUUUGUAGACAUUGUAUGCAAAUAAAAAUAAUCAAAAAUAAAAGAGCUAAAUGAUCAAAAACACGCCUAAAAUGUCAUUUUUUUGGCGAAUUUCCUACCUCAACUGUCCAUUGUCCUUUUUAGCUACCUACACUAUCACUCCUUUUGUAGUUUUGAUGAAGAACUAUCACUCUUUUUGCAUUAAAAAAACCUCAAUACCGAGUUGGCCAAACAUUCAUCCCAAUCGACAACAAACACUUCUAAGCCAACUCAGCCUCGAGAUGUGUUUCAAUACAAAAGGAGUGAUAGUUGAGCUACGAAACUCGCAAAAAGAUACAUUCUUUACCAUCAACUAACAACCAAAAAAACAACAUCAACAACAAAAUAAAUUCCACUUACUCACUAAGAAUAGCAAUGGGGUUAUUUCCAUCAUCAACAAGAGCAACAUCGAGUUGUAUCUUAAUAUAAAACAAGUGCAGUUCAGGUAUGAAACUCGCGAAAAGGUGAAUUCUUUACCAUCAACUAACAACCAAAAAAGAAUUAUCACCAACAAAAUAAAUUCCACUUACUCACUAAGAAAGCAGUGGGGUUAUUUCCAUCAUCAACAAGAGCAACAUCGAGUUGUAUUUUAAUAUAAAACAACUGAUAGUUCAGGUAUGAAACUCACGAAAAGGAGCAUUCUUUACCAUCAACUAACAACCAAGAAAACAAAAUCAACAACAAAAUAUCCCCUUACUCACUAAGAAUAACAAUGGGGUUAUUUCCAUCAUCAACAAGAGCAACAUCGAGUUGUAUUUUAAUAUAAAAUAACUGAUAGUUCAGGUAUGAAACUCGUGAAAAGAUGCAUUCUUUACCAUCAACUAACAACCAAGAAAACAAUAUCAACGACAAAAUAUCCCCUUACUCACUAAGAAUAGCAAUGGGGUUAUUUCCAUCAUCAACAAGAGCAACAUCGAGUUGUAUUUUAAUAUAAAACAAGUGACAGUUCAGGUAUGAAACUCGCGAAAACAUGCAUUCUUUACCAUUAACUAACAACCAAGAAAACAAUAUCAACAACAAAAUAGAUUCCACUUACUCACUAAGAAUGGCAGUGGAAUUUAUUUCUUCAUCGAGUUUUAGGCCAACUCAACAUCAAGUUGUAUUUUAAUACAAAACAAGUGAUAGUUCAGGUAUGAAACUCGUGAAAAGAUCCAUUCUUUACCAUUAACUCAAACUCAAAAAAGCAAUUUCAAGAAAAAACAAAUUCCACUUACUUAGGCCAACUCAACAUCGAGUUGUUUUUAAUAUAAAACAAGUGAUCGUUAAGGUGUGAAACUCGCAAAAACGUGCAUUCUUUACUAUUAACUAACAACCAAAAAAAAAAUAUCAACAACAAAAUAAAUUGCACUUACUCACUAAGAAUAGCAAUGGGGUUAUUUUCAUCAUCAACAAGAGCAACAUCAAGUUGUAUUUUAAUAUAAAACAACUGAUAGUUCAGGUAUGAAACUCACGAAAAGGUGCAUUCUUUACCAUCAACUAACAACCAAGAAAACAAAAUCAACAACAAAAUAUCCCCUUACUUGCUAAGAAUAGCAAUGGGGUUAUUUCCAUCAUCAACAAGAGCAACAUCGAGUUGUAUUUUAAUAUAAAACAACUGAUAGUUCAGGUAUGAAACUUGCGAAAAGGUGCAUUCUUUACCAUCAACCAACAACCAAGAAAACAAUAUCAACAACAAAAUAUCCCCUUACUAAGAAUAGCAAUGGGGUUAUUUCCACCAUCAACUAGAGCAGCAUCGAGUUGUAUUUUAAUAUAAAACAAGUGACAGUUCAGGUAUGAAACUCGCGAAAACAUGCAUUCUUUACCAUUAACUAACAACCAAGAAAACAAUAUCAACAACAAAAUAAAUUCCACUUACUCACUAAGAAUGGCAAUGGGAUUUAUUUCUUCAUCGAGUUUUAGGCCAACUCAACAUCAAGUUGUAUUUUAAUACAAAACAAGUGAUAGUUCAGGUAUGAAACUCGUGAAAAGAUGCAUUCUUUACCAUCAACUCAAACUCAAAAAAACAAUUUCAAGAAAAAACAAAUUCCACUUACUUAGGCCAACUCAACAUUGAGUUGUAUUUUAACAUAAAACAAGUGAUAGUUCAGGCAUGAAACUCGCGAAAAGGUGCAUUCUUUACCAUUAACUAACAACCGAAAAAACAACAUCAACAACAAAAAAAGUCCACUUACUAAGAAUAGCAAUGGGAUUAUUUCCAUCAUCAACAAGAGCAACACUAGUCUCCCCACUAAAGCUCCCGCUAUGCAUAGGGUCUUGGGAAAGUCCCCACCACAAGAGUGUAUUGUACGCAGCCUUGCCUUGCAUUUCUGCCAGAGACUGCUUCCGAGGCUUGAACUCGUGACCUCCUGGUCACAUGGCAGCAACUAUACCAGUUACUCCAAGGUAUGAAAAUCGCAAAAAAGUGAUAAUUUAGACACGUAAAUAAAACAAGUGAUCGUUAAGGUAUGAAACUCGCGAAAAGGUGCAUUCUUUACCAUUAACUAACAACCAAAAAAAACAACAUCAACAACAAAACAAACUCCACUUACUCGCUAAGAAUAGCAAUGGGGUUAUUCUCAUCAUCAACAAGAGCAACACUAGUCACCCCACCAAUCUCAUCCUUCUUCAAAUAAUCAAUAGCAAGCACAAUUGGAACAGACAUGUUAACAAAAGAUCCAUCAUCAAUACGUAUACAGUUAAAAUGUAGUGUCUGUAAGUACUCAUUUUCUCUCAUAAAUCCUUUCAAUGGACUUGCCCAUCCUUCACUUAACACAUGUACCCAUUCAAUAUCAAUCUUGUUAACCUUAAUUUGUGGCAAUUUAUUUGCUUCUUCUCUCUUCAAUUCUCUUUGUGAUUCUUCAAUGAAGAGUUCAAUGAGUUUGCCUCCAUCAGGUUGGAUCAAUGAGCCGGAAUGGAUUCGGG
RNAcentral lists this long non-coding RNA (13280 nucleotides) under Capsicum annuum. Its description in RNAcentral is "long non-coding RNA (CANN_LNC007521)". Lineage: Eukaryota; Viridiplantae; Streptophyta; Magnoliopsida; Solanales; Solanaceae. The record is from RNAcentral.